GGAAGGAUCAUUAAAGAGUAAGGGUGCUCAGCGCCCGACCUCCAACCCUUUGUUGUUAAAACUACCUUGUUGCUUUGGCGGGACCGCUCGGUCUCGAGCCGCUGGGGAUUCGUCCCAGGCGAGCGCCCGCCAGAGUUAAACCAAACUCUUGUUAUUAAACCGGUCGUCUGAGUUAAAAUUUUGAAUAAAUCAAAACUUUCAACAACGGAUCUCUUGGUUCUCGCAUCGAUGAAGAACGCAGCGAAAUGCGAUAAGUAAUGUGAAUUGCAGAAUUCAGUGAAUCAUCGAAUCUUUGAACGCACAUUGCGCCCCUUGGUAUUCCGAGGGGCAUGCCUGUUCGAGCGUCAUUACACCACUCAAGCUAUGCUUGGUAUUGGGUGCCGUCCUUAGUUGGGCGCGCCUUAAAGACCUCGGCGAGGCCUCACCGGCUUUAGGCGUAGUAGAAUUUAUUCGAACGUCUGUCAAAGGAGAGGACUUCUGCCGACUGAAACCUUUUAUUUUUCUAGGUUGACCUCGGAUCAGGUAGGGAUACCCGCUGAACUUAA
RNAcentral lists this unclassified non-coding RNA (545 nucleotides) under Metschnikowia sp. JSKim-2014. Its description in RNAcentral is "partial contains 18S rRNA, ITS1, 5.8S rRNA, and ITS2". The stretch from base 194 to 347 matches the Rfam family "5.8S ribosomal RNA". The record is from RNAcentral. Lineage: Eukaryota; Fungi; Ascomycota; Pichiomycetes; Serinales; Metschnikowiaceae.